GCAGUUCCAGCAUUUUGAUUUUUUAAAAAGUUUUGAAUAUUUGAGCAAUAUACACUUAAAAAGCUGCCUUAUUCUAAAUCGGACUUUAGUCUGUGUAGCCUAAUAUUGUUUCAUCUUACUUGCCAAAGUAUGUUCCCUCUCUUAAAAAUAUUCUAGGUGGAAUAGAGGUCUGCCAGGAAGCCAUGCAGGCUACAGGAACCCCAACUGCUAUGCACUAGAGACAAGUGCUACCUGUACAUCUUCAAAGGCAACUUGGCUAACUCCAGUAUUUCACAGAGAAUCAUCAUCCAUCUAACUGAAAUACUCUCCAACGGCCCAUCAGCCUUGCCUUCUCUUUGAAAUAGUCCAGCUGAGCACUGCACAGACUGUGAUUUUUCCCCCUUCUAAGAUGUCUUACUCACUCCAUAAGCUCAAGACUGACAGUCGAAUUUCACACUGUGAUAGCCCCCCAUCGAUUUUUCACUUGCAGGGAGCAACUCUACAAAUUAAAGUUAACAGCAUUGUUGAAACUUUGAAAUAACUGAGGGGGAAAAAUGGGAUCGAAAAGAUACCUGAACACCAGGGGUUCAAUGUGUUUGGGGGAGAGGGAGGAAAAUCCAAAGGUGAAGGGCAUUUCCAGAAAAUUAAAACCUUUUGAAAGGGAAUUCCUUUGAACGAAUGAAAUCAUAUCAAAAGA
This is a long non-coding RNA of Lacerta agilis (Sand lizard), 676 nucleotides long. RefSeq lists it as uncharacterized. The record is from RefSeq and is a predicted model, not a curated record. Lineage: Eukaryota; Metazoa; Chordata; Lepidosauria; Squamata; Lacertidae. The transcript is spliced from 2 exons.